GACGAACGCUGGCGGCGUGCCUAAUACAUGCAAGUCGAACGAGAGCGCCCGGUGCUUGCACUGGUCACUCUAGUGGCGAACGGGUGAGUAACACGUGGGUAACCUGCUCAUCAGAGGGGGAUAACAUCCGGAAACGGAUGCUAACACCGCAUAGGUCUUCGAGCCGCAUGGCUUGAAGGGGAAAAGAGGCGCUAGCUUCUGCUGACGGAUGGUCCCGCGGUGCUUUUGCUAGUUGGUCGGGUAAAGGCUCACCAAGGCCGCGAUGCAUAGCCGACCGGUGGGGGGGAUCGGCGGCAUUGGGACGGAGACGCGGCCCAUACGCCUGCGGGAGGCAGCAGUAGGGAAUCGUCCGCAAUGGACGCAAGUCUGACAGAGCAACGCCGCGUGAGUGAAGAAGGUGUUCGGAUCGUAAAACUCUGUUGUUAGAGAAGAACAAGUGCUAGAGUAACUGUUGGCGCCUUGACGGUAUCUAGCCAGAAAGCCACGGCUAACUACGUG
Molecule: ribosomal RNA, 498 nt
Filed under: uncultured bacterium
Lineage: Bacteria
Description: partial 16S ribosomal RNA
Rfam family: Bacterial small subunit ribosomal RNA
Source: RNAcentral